GGCCAUACAACUCCUGUCCAACGCUGCCUGGAGUGAAACUUAUCAGCUGCCUCAUGGCUGCCUGAGGGAAAUGAGUUUAUAACGACUAAAACGAACAGAAGACCAGCCCACUCACUCACCUCCUCUCGCCUGUGUUUCUCAGCUUUACUGACGUUGUCCAGCGGGGCGAUGUCUCCCACGAUGCACUCGGCCAUGUCAUGGACUAGAGACAGCUUCAUGCACCUGAAGUCAGGCAAUAGGAGGGCAGCCCGUGUCCAAAGAGACAGCUGACUGCGUGAAAGAGCUCACCUGUCCUUGUCCACCGUGGGGUCAGUGAUGGUGAGAGACAUGAGGGCCAUGCGGUACAUGUGGUCUGACACACUCUCUGGCUCCUUCACCUCUCUGUACACCCAGCCUGUCCGAGGAACCCUCUGCGGAAGUAAAGAAAGAAGAACGAAAAGAGCUAUCGAUUUGCAGGAGCUUUUGUGGAGCAUCAGUGUGCUGAAGAACGCUGCUGUGAGAAGAGGACGGACUCUUAAAUGUAUUUACGGAGGAGUAUGAAGCCGGACUCGAAGCAGCGACCUCAGAUGCUUACUACUCUGACUUUGUUGGAUAAAUGUGGAAAAACCGGAGGCAUUACACGAGUGGAACGAAGGUAAACAACAUCCAAUAUUAACUAUUUUCUUUAUUAAAUGUUGAAAAGUAGUCCGUGACAUUCCAUUUGUGUAGUUAUUAGCCUCAUCUCGAGUGAACAGAAUGCUAAUGCUAACAAGCUAACGCUA
This is a long non-coding RNA of Entelurus aequoreus (snake pipefish), 761 nucleotides long. RefSeq lists it as uncharacterized. The transcript has 3 exons. NCBI's taxonomy places the organism in Eukaryota, Metazoa, Chordata, Actinopteri, Syngnathiformes, Syngnathidae. The record is from RefSeq and is a predicted model, not a curated record.